This 132-nucleotide ribosomal RNA is filed under the name Microcebus murinus (gray mouse lemur). Lineage: Eukaryota; Metazoa; Chordata; Mammalia; Primates; Cheirogaleidae. The record is from RNAcentral.
UACGAUCCAUACCACCAUGGACAUGCUGCUUCUCAUCUGAUCUUGGAAGCUAAGUAGGGUUGGGUCUGGUUGGUACUUGGAUGGGAAUAACUGUGCUAUUUAUACAGUCCAGAAAGCCAGAAAUUAACGGGA